Molecule: transfer RNA, 74 nt
Filed under: Limnoraphis robusta
Lineage: Bacteria; Bacillati; Cyanobacteriota; Cyanophyceae; Oscillatoriales; Sirenicapillariaceae
Also listed under: 1 other name
Description: tRNA-Ala
Rfam family: tRNA
About the family: Transfer RNA (tRNA) molecules are approximately 80 nucleotides in length. Their secondary structure includes four short double-helical elements and three loops (D, anti-codon, and T loops).
Source: RNAcentral
GGGUCUGUAGCUUAAUCGGGAAAGCACCGAGCUUGCACCUCGGGAGAUGUCGGUUCAACUCCGACCAGUAUCCA